AAGAUUAAUUUAUAGACUUCUAAUCUAUUAAAUAAUGAUAUUCAUUUAAUCUUU
Molecule: transfer RNA, 54 nt
Filed under: Ixodes nuttallianus
Lineage: Eukaryota; Metazoa; Arthropoda; Arachnida; Ixodida; Ixodidae
Description: tRNA-Ser
Source: RNAcentral